RNAcentral lists this ribosomal RNA (1171 nucleotides) under Psettarium nolani. Its description in RNAcentral is "eukaryotic LSU rRNA". It matches the Rfam family "Eukaryotic large subunit ribosomal RNA", at positions 38 to 815 of the family's 3401-position model. Lineage: Eukaryota; Metazoa; Platyhelminthes; Trematoda; Strigeidida; Aporocotylidae. The record is from RNAcentral.
GCAUAUCACUAAGCGGAGGAAAAGAAACUAACCAGGAUUCCCUUAGUAACGGCGAGUGAACAGGGAUUAGCCCAGCACCGAAGCCUGUGGUUAUUUGACUACUAGGCAAUGUGGUGUUUAGAUUGGUUCUUGGCAUUUUUGCUUUGUCCCAAGUCCAUCAAUGAAUGUGGCUAAUGGACUGGCCCAAAGAGGGUGAAAGGCCCGUGGGGAUAAAGAUCAAGUGUGUCGAAAGUGCUUUGAAUCUUUCUUGGAGUCGGGUUGUUUGAGAAUGCAGCCCAAAGUGGGUGGUAGACUCCAUCCAAGGCUAAAUACUGGCACGAAUCCGAUAGCAAACAAGUACCGUGAGGGAAAGUUGAAAAGUACUUUGAAGAGAGAGUAAACAGUGCGUGAAACCGCUCAGAGGUAAACGGGUGGAGUUGAACUGGAAUCCUUGGCAAUUUAACUGAUGAGUAUGGCUUGUGCUUGUUCAGGCAUGGUGGCUAAUAUGCGAAGUCUGCUUAAUGACAGGCUUGGACCCUUUCGGGGGUUUAAGUGCACGCGGCACUGGUCAGGUGUUGUGCGCUUCGUUUAAUUUGGGUCAGCUUGUCAGUGCAAUUUGUCAGGGUGAUCACCACGACCGGCGUGGUUGCCUGUUUGUUGUAACCGAACCGAUCAGAUCUGGUCAUUACGGCUAGUUUUGGUAGGGAUGGCAGGUAGCUUGCUGGCUUCUUUAUGGAGUUGGUAGGUGUUAAUUAAUUAGCCGGUUGCAAUGAAUUUGUGCAAUAUGUCGGAGAUGACGGCCGUGUAUGCUUUGUUUGAUAGAUUUGAGCGAGUUUGAUUGGCAUGUACUUGUUAAGGCAGGUCUGUCAGUAGCUUGUUUGAGUUUGUUGAAUGAAUGCGUGCAACGAAUUGUGGCUUGGGCCUAUAGUCUGUGGUGUAGUGGUAGACUAUCCACCUGACCCGUCUUGAAACACGGACCAAGGAGUUUAACAUGUGCGCGAGUCAUUGGGCGUUACGAAACCCAAAGGCGUAAUGAAAGUAAAGGUUUAAACUAAGGUAAGAUCUCGUUGUGUCCAAUGAUCUAUACAAAGCAUUGGUAUGGCGAGCGCAUUACCAGCCCGUCUCAUGGUGUUGUCAUGAAGUUUAGUCUUUGUGCGUCAUCGGGGCGGAGCCAGAGCGUACACGUUGAGAC